UCUGCACAUUGUUAGAGCUUGGAGUUGAGGCCGCUGGCUGGCCGAUGAACUCACAAGUGUAGGUAGUGUGCUACACGAGGGGCAAGUCUUUUCACUAACACCACAGGGGUCUCUGGCCCAAUGAGUGGAGUUUGAUAGUAAUUCUUGCUACAAAU
RNAcentral lists this small nucleolar RNA (155 nucleotides) under Zalophus californianus (California sea lion). Lineage: Eukaryota; Metazoa; Chordata; Mammalia; Carnivora; Otariidae. The record is from RNAcentral.